RNAcentral lists this unclassified non-coding RNA (606 nucleotides) under Hevea brasiliensis (rubber tree). The record is from RNAcentral. Lineage: Eukaryota; Viridiplantae; Streptophyta; Magnoliopsida; Malpighiales; Euphorbiaceae.
GCCGAAAAAGAUCAAAGAGAACCUGCAUAAACCUCGCAGAAAAAAGGGCCAUUCAAAAGACCGAACUUCAUGACAUAAGAAUCAUAUUUAUCUACCCAGCUCUUUGAUGCAAUUCUAAUGGCAACUAUGACUUGCAUUUGCACAUGUAGAGAUGUGGGGGAGUAGGGGCAAGUUGAGUCAUAAAUUUUUAAUUGAAACAAGGCUUUCGUUGGCAACCAUUAUCAACAAAAGAUCAAGCUCCAGUGCAUACAUGAGCAAGUAAUUAGCAGUUCUUUAAUCCAACUAUUUGCAAACAAUCAUCCAAUGAAGGCCCAAAGAAUGAAAUAUCUGGUGCUGUUUCCUAGAAUACAGGAGCACCACUUACCAAUGCACUAUGCAGCCAUUAUUAAUACUGUGUUACAGUAAAAGGCAGUAGAAACAUUCCAUUUUUUACUAGAACUAGAGAAAUUGCACAUAGGAGCUUGACCAUUUCCAGAGUGAACAUAAUUCAACCUUGAGAUGAAAGCAAGAUAAGCCAAGCAAUUCUAAGUAUGCUAAAACAAUCAAAAUGAGAAGGUAUAAAUGCCAAAAUUUGAAUCAGAUCAAUCAUACCUCAGAUCGUCUUAA